This is a long non-coding RNA of Cyprinus carpio (common carp), 313 nucleotides long. The record is from Ensembl. Lineage: Eukaryota; Metazoa; Chordata; Actinopteri; Cypriniformes; Cyprinidae.
UUCAAGCAUGUUGAAAUGUGUCUAGCUUCAGACACUUGACUGGUUACUCGCCGCAGCAGUUUCUGGAUGAAAGGUGUCGAGCUCGUCAAGUACUAAGCUUUACACCCCCAGCAGCAAAUUUACCCUGGCAGCAUAUGGGUGAAAACGCUGGAGGAGAAAGUCAUCGCUCUGUAAUUGGCCCUUGGACUCCCCUGGCAUCUCGUGUACAGCAUGAAGUUUUCAGCUAUGAAGGUAUAUUUUAGGCCUAUGUCUUAGUGUCCAGUGUUUUAAAAGUAUUGAAAAUAGUGCCUUUAGGUGUUUUUUUUUUUUUUUU